RNAcentral lists this ribosomal RNA (301 nucleotides) under uncultured bacterium. RNAcentral describes it as "partial 16S ribosomal RNA". It matches the Rfam family "Bacterial small subunit ribosomal RNA", at positions 509 to 807 of the family's 1533-position model. The record is from RNAcentral.
CAGUAGCCACGGUAAUACGGAGGGUGCAAGCGUUAAUCGGAAUUACUGGGCGUAAAGCGCACGCAGGCGGUCUGUUAAGUCAGAUGUGAAAUCCCCGGGCUUAACCUGGGAACUGCAUUUGAAACUGGCAGGCUUGAGUCUUGUAGAGGGGGGUAGAAUUCCAGGUGUAGCGGUGAAAUGCGUAGAGAUCUGGAGGAAUACCGGUGGCGAAGGCGGCCCCCUGGACAAAGACUGACGCUCAGGUGCGAAAGCGUGGGGAGCAAACAGGAUUAGAUACCCGUGUAGUCCCUGUCUCUUAUAC